ACUUAAAUAGCUUAUUAAAAAGAGCGUAAUAUUGAAGAUAUUAAGGUAAAUAAUUUAAUUAUUUUUUAAGUA
RNAcentral lists this transfer RNA (72 nucleotides) under Staphylinidae sp. BMNH 1274637. RNAcentral describes it as "tRNA-Phe". Lineage: Eukaryota; Metazoa; Arthropoda; Insecta; Coleoptera; Staphylinidae. The record is from RNAcentral.